This 253-nucleotide ribosomal RNA is filed under the name uncultured bacterium. RNAcentral's name for it is "partial 16S ribosomal RNA". It matches the Rfam family "Bacterial small subunit ribosomal RNA", at positions 524 to 776 of the family's 1533-position model. The record is from RNAcentral.
UACGAAGGGGGCUAGCGUUGCUCGGAAUCACUGGGCGUAAAGGGUGCGUAGGCGGGUCUUUAAGUCAGAGGUGAAAUCCUGGAGCUCAACUCCAGAACUGCCUUUGAUACUGAAGAUCUUGAGUUCGGGAGAGGUGAGUGGAACUGCGAGUGUAGAGGUGAAAUUCGUAGAUAUUCGCAAGAACACCAGUGGCGAAGGCGGCUCACUGGACUGGUACUGACGCUGAUGCGCGAAAGCGUGGGGAGCAAACAGG